This 935-nucleotide long non-coding RNA is filed under the name Marmota monax (woodchuck). Lineage: Eukaryota; Metazoa; Chordata; Mammalia; Rodentia; Sciuridae. The record is from RNAcentral.
AAAAAAUUGACUCCCAGUAAGAAGUUAUUAUCAAAAUAACAAGUGUUGGUGAGGAAGUGGAGAAAUUGGACCGUUUCUACACUGUUGAUGAGAAUGUAAAAUGGUGCAGCCACUAUAAGAAACAAUGUGGCUGUUCCCCAAAAAUUAAAUAUAGAGGUGGGCUGGAUGGUGCACAUCUGUAAUCCCAGCCACUUGGGAGGCUGAGGAAGGAGGAUCACAAGUUGGAGGCCAGCCUCAGCAACUUAGUGACACCCUGUCUCAAGAUAAAAAAAUAAAAAUGGCUGAGGAUAUAGGUCAGAAAAAUAGUGGCCCUAAGAUCAAGCUCCUUCGCUGAGGGGAGAAAAACCAUAAAUACAGAAUAAUCAUAUGAUCCAGCAAUACCACUUCUGGAUACAUAAUCCAAAAGAACUGAAAGCAAGACUUGAAGAGAUAUUUGCACACCAUGUUCACAGCAGCACUCUUUGUGAUGGCCAAGACCAGAAAGUAAUGCAGGUGCCCAUCAAGGGAUAAAUGGAUAAGUAAAUGCAACAUGCACACACAAUAGAAUAUUGCUCAGCCUUAGAAAGGAAGGAAAUUCGGACACAUGGCACAACAUGGACAUUUACUAAGUGAAAUAAGCCAGUCACAAAGACAAAUACAAUAUAUACGUGUGUGUGCUGUGUGUGUAGACAUUAAAAUAAAAACGUGUUUUUAGAAAAAUGGCUUUAAACAAACAAAUAAAAACCCAAAAAGACAAAUGUUAUGGUUCCAUUCAUAUCUAAAGUAAAUCCAUGGAAACAGAACAUAGAAUAGUGGUUGCCAGGGCUGGAGGAAGUGGGAGAUGGGGAGUUGUUAAACAGGUAUCAAGUUUCACUUAUGCAAUAUGUAAAAGUUCCGGAGAUCUGUUGCACAAUGAUGUGAAUAUACUUGACACUACUGAACUGUAUCCUUAGAAA